UUACAAAAAAAAUUUUUUUUGGUGCGCUGUGUCUUCCCUGACAGUAACGUGUUGAAGCCAGGAGACCGCGCUGUCUUUGCCCGGGCCAUGAACACGGUGAUUUGCUCCGUUUUUGUUUGACUACAUUUUAUGAGUAACAGUUAGGGGGGUGCUAGUGACUUUUCAUGCGCAAAGACCGGCAUCUGAACUCUGCGGCAACCGCGAUCGACAUAUUGAGCACCCCUGCAUUAAAACAUUGGUGCAAGUGACUUUUUUUCGUCCCGAUGUGCGCACACACGCCGGCAUCCGAGCUCUGCGGCACGCGAGACGGGGAUCGGAGUCAUGUUAACGUGACACGUAGAGACAGAAUGACAUGCUGCUGGAGAGACGACCAACAACAGACGGAUUGGAAGCUCAUUCUGCGCAUGCGUUAAAUGCGUUUAAAAAAAACGAAGUUAAACCUGUAAUUUAAUUAACUGAGUUAACGCGUUAUUUUUCACAGCACUAAGCAAAAUACAAUUAUUUUUCCAUUUUUACGCAUGUUGUCAGGUCACAUUUGAUGACUAUGAUGGAGCCAUUGGAUUUGUCAACAUAAGUAAUGUGCACUGGAAGCUUGUGUAUCUCCAUGCCCUUUUAAACCGCAUAUUUGUGGUUGAUCCUCUGCAAGGGUUAAAUGAAGUUGACGACUCCAGAAAGGCUGGCCAAAGAUACAGUAUUUCAAAAUGCGCCGGAACAGACUUGGAAAGGAGGACUGGGUUCACAUCAAGUGGCAGCCGGGCCAGAUGAGCCACAGCUGCCAGAAAGAUGGCAGCAGUUGUGGGAUCUUUGUCAUGCAGAUGGCCGAGAUGACGGUGAUGGAACUUCCAAAGAUUCCUCAGCAUUUUCACAUCAACUCAUCUAAACAAUCUAUUGAAAAGCUAAGAAGAGACGAGGCUGAAGACAUUCUAAAACAAUCAGGUUUAAAAAAAAUAGUUUCAAAGGAUGAGCUCUGUUCCUUCUGUGGAAUUGAGGACCUGCCCAAAACUGAUGUUGAUGCUGUUUGGAUUCAGUGUGGAACUUGCUCAAGAUGGUUUCACACGCAGUGCCUUGGGAUGACAGCAGCACAAAUACCAAACAACAUUGGUAUUGUGUGUUGUGUAACUGAACACUUAGGAAUAUGUAUGUCUGACUUUGUCGGAUAAACUUGUUGACUUCAAGUUUAUCCAGUUAAAUGUUGUUCAAGCCGAACCAGUCAUAUAUACAUUGGUAUCUGAUCGUUCAUAAAGAUUAAAUGGGGGAACUACUUGACUUCUA
Molecule: long non-coding RNA, 1272 nt
Organism: Pseudoliparis swirei
Lineage: Eukaryota; Metazoa; Chordata; Actinopteri; Perciformes; Liparidae
Exons: 6
Source: RefSeq, a predicted model, not a curated record